GGAUGUGAGGGUGAUCAGGCUGCGACAUCUGUCACCUCAUUGAUUGCCAGGGUUGAUUCGGCUGAUCUGGCUGGCUAGGCAGGUGUCCCCUUCCUCCCUCAUCUCUCCACGUGCGUCCCUCCCGAAGCUGCGCGCUCAACCUUCCCCGCUAGAGGAGGACCGGUCUUCGGUCAAGGGUAUAUGAGUAGCUGCGCUCCCCUGCUAGAACCUCCAAACAAGCUCUCAAACAGUUGCUUGCAAGGCUGUAUUUCCAACUCCCUGCUGGCUACUGCCACUGGCUGCCCUACAGAUACGUCAAAGUCGAGGAUGCAUGUAAAAGU
This 320-nucleotide small nuclear RNA is filed under the name Propithecus coquereli (Coquerel's sifaka). RNAcentral describes it as "7SK RNA (ENSPCOG00000011433.1)". It matches the Rfam family "7SK RNA". Rfam says of the family: 7SK was discovered as an abundant small nuclear RNA in the mid-70s but a possible function has only recently been suggested. Two independent studies have found that 7SK RNA binds the CDK9/cyclin T complex (known as elongation factor P-TEFb). P-TEFb activates transcription by phosphorylating the C-terminal domain of RNA polymerase II. Lineage: Eukaryota; Metazoa; Chordata; Mammalia; Primates; Indriidae. The record is from RNAcentral.